GGGUUGUGAGGUUAAGCGACUAAGCGUACACGGUGGAUGCCCUGGCAGUCAGAGGCGAUGAAGGGCGUGCUAAUCUGCGAUAAGCGCCGGUAAGGUGAUAUGAACCGUUAUAACCGGCGAUACCCGAAUGGGGAAACCCAGUGUGACUCGUCACACUAUCAUUAACUGAAUCCAUAGGUUAAUGAGGCGAACCGGGGGAACUGAAACAUCUAAGUACCCCGAGGAAAAGAAAUCAACCGAGAUUCCCCCAGUAGCGGCGAGCGAACGGGGAGGAGCCCAGAGCCUGAAUCAGCAUGUGUGUUAGUGGAAGCGUCUGGAAAGGCGCGCGAUACAGGGUGACAGCCCCGUACACAAAAGCGCAUGUGCUGUGAGCUCGAUGAGUAGGGCGGGACACGUGGUAUCCUGUCUGAAUAUGGGGGGACCAUCCUCCAAGGCUAAAUACUCCUGACUGACCGAUAGUGAACCAGUACCGUGAGGGAAAGGCGAAAAGAACCCCGGCGAGGGGAGUGAAAAAGAACCUGAAACCGUGUACGUACAAGCAGUGGGAGCACCCUUUGGGUGUGACUGCGUACCUUUUGUAUAAUGGGUCAGCGACUUAUAUUCUGUAGCAAGGUUAACCGAAUAGGGGAGCCGGAGGGAAACCGAGUCUUAACCGGGCGUUAAGUUGCAGGGUAUAGACCCGAAACCCGGUGAUCUAGCCAUGGGCAGGUUGAAGGUUGGGUAACACUAACUGGAGGACCGAACCGACUAAUGUUGAAAAAUUAGCGGAUGACCUGUGGCUGGGGGUGAAAGGCCAAUCAAACCGGGAGAUAGCUGGUUCUCCCCGAAAGCUAUUUAGGUAGCGCCUCGUGAAUUCAUCUCCGGGGGUAGAGCACUGUUUCGGCUAGGGGGCCAUCCCGGCUUACCAACCCGAUGCAAACUGCGAAUACCGGAGAAUGUUAUCACGGGAGACACACGGCGGGUGCUAACGUCCGUCGUGAAGAGGGAAACAACCCAGACCGCCAGCUAAGGUCCCAAAGUCAUGGUUAAGUGGGAAACGAUGUGGGAAGGCCCAGACAGCCAGGAUGUUGGCUUAGAAGCAGCCAUCAUUUAAAGAAAGCGUAAUAGCUCACUGGUCGAGUCGGCCUGCGCGGAAGAUGUAAC
This 1143-nucleotide ribosomal RNA is filed under the name Salmonella enterica subsp. enterica serovar Enteritidis. RNAcentral describes it as "partial 23S ribosomal RNA". It matches the Rfam family "Bacterial large subunit ribosomal RNA", at positions 1 to 1176 of the family's 2925-position model. Lineage: Bacteria; Pseudomonadati; Pseudomonadota; Gammaproteobacteria; Enterobacterales; Enterobacteriaceae. The record is from RNAcentral.